GGCGCGGUGGCUCAAGCGUGUAAUCCCAGCACUUUGGGAGGCCGAGAGGGGCGGAUGAGGAGGUCAGGAGAUAGAGACCAUCCUGGCUAACACAGUGAAACUCCCUCUCUACUAAAAAAUACAAAAAACUAGCCGGACGAGGUGGCGGGCGUCUGUAGUCCCAGCUACUCGGAAGGCUGAGGCAGAAGAAUGGCAGUAAACCCAGGAGGCGGAGCUUCCAGCGACUGAGAUCCGGCCACUGCGCUCCAGCCUGGGCGACAGAGCGAGACUCUCAAAAAAAAAAAAAAAAAAAAUUUAUACGUGUAAUCCCAGCACUUUGGGAGGCCAAGGCGGGCGGAUGGCAAGGUCAGGAGAUUGAGACCAUCCUGGCCAACAUGGUGAAACCUCAUCUCUACUAAAAAUAGAAAUAGUUGUGCGUGCUGGCAUGCGCCUGUAAUCUCAGCUACUCGGAGGCUGAGGCAGGAGAACCGCUUGAAACCGGGAGGCAGAGGUUGCAGUGAGUCAAGAUCAUGCCUCUGCACUCCAGCUGGGCAACAGAGGGAGACUGUUUGAAAAAAAAAGUCCAAAAUUGAGCUGAAUGAGCCAGUCUACAUGGUUCUCCAGUCCACACUUUACUGUUUCAAAGACUCUUGACUUUCAAUAUGUGCAUUUUCUGUGCACUGUCAGCUCUCAAUUUCCCAACACACGGUGUUCCCAGGACAGCCGCAUCCGUGCCCUCCAUACAAACAAUUCUCCGUUGCGGAGAAACAAUGCUGAAACAUGACCCAGAGCAUGGGAUUUCAAAUCAGACCAAUGGAGCUUUGCUUUUCAUUUCUCCACUUCCAACCUUUGUGAACAUCACUUAGCUAUAGCUCUGCACCUCACCUGCAAAUGGGGGUAAUGAUAGCAGUCAGUUCAUUGAGUUAUUGGAAGAUUAAUUAACGCCUUUAAAGCACCUUUCUAGCAUUGGAUCCACCUAAAGUAAGUGAUUAAUAUAUGUUGAAAUAUUAUUAUUACUGUAACUCGUCACCUUGUAAUCAGUGCAUAUUUCUAGCUAACUAAAAUCACAGUGAUUUCUUUAGCUAAAAUGAAUUAUUUUACUGAAUAUACAAUUCAGAUAGCAC
RNAcentral lists this long non-coding RNA (1103 nucleotides) under Macaca mulatta (Rhesus monkey). Its description in RNAcentral is "lncRNA (ENSMMUG00000050168.1)". Lineage: Eukaryota; Metazoa; Chordata; Mammalia; Primates; Cercopithecidae. The record is from RNAcentral.